This 1450-nucleotide ribosomal RNA is filed under the name uncultured bacterium. RNAcentral describes it as "bacterial SSU rRNA". It matches the Rfam family "Bacterial small subunit ribosomal RNA". The record is from RNAcentral.
GAUGAACGCUAGCUACAGGCUUAACACAUGCAAGUCGAGGGGCAGCAUGGUCUUAGCUUGCUAAGGCCGAUGGCGACCGGCGCACGGGUGAGUAACACGUAUCCAACCUGCCGUCUACUCUUGGACAGCCUUCUGAAAGGAAGAUUAAUACAAGAUGGCAUCAUGAGUCCGCAUGUUCACAUGAUUAAAGGUAUUCCGGUAGACGAUGGGGAUGCGUUCCAUUAGAUAGUAGGCGGGGUAACGGCCCACCUAGUCUUCGAUGGAUAGGGGUUCUGAGAGGAAGGUCCCCCACAUUGGAACUGAGACACGGUCCAAACUCCUACGGGAGGCAGCAGUGAGGAAUAUUGGUCAAUGGGCGAGAGCCUGAACCAGCCAAGUAGCGUGAAGGAUGACUGCCCUAUGGGUUGUAAACUUCUUUUAUAAAGGAAUAAAGUCGGGUAUGCAUACCCGUUUGCAUGUACUUUAUGAAUAAGGAUCGGCUAACUACGUGCCAGCAGCCGCGGUAAUACGGAGGAUCCGAGCGUUAUCCGGAUUUAUUGGGUUUAAAGGGAGCGUAGAUGGAUGUUUAAGUCAGUUGUGAAAGUUUGCGGCUCAACCGUAAAAUUGCAGUUGAUACUGGAUAUCUUGAGUGCAGUUGAGGCAGGCGGAAUUCGUGGUGUAGCGGUGAAAUGCUUAGAUAUCACGAAGAACUCCGAUUGCGAAGGCAGCCUGCUAAGCUGCAACUGACAUUGAGGCUCGAAAGUGUGGGUAUCAAACAGGAUUAGAUACCCUGGUAGUCCACACGGUAAACGAUGAAUACUCGCUGUUUGCGAUAUACAGCAAGCGGCCAAGCGAAAGCGUUAAGUAUUCCACCUGGGGAGUACGCCGGCAACGGUGAAACUCAAAGGAAUUGACGGGGGCCCGCACAAGCGGAGGAACAUGUGGUUUAAUUCGAUGAUACGCGAGGAACCUUACCCGGGCUUAAAUUGCAGAUGAAUUACGGUGAAAGCCGUAAGCCGCAAGGCAUCUGUGAAGGUGCUGCAUGGUUGUCGUCAGCUCGUGCCGUGAGGUGUCGGCUUAAGUGCCAUAACGAGCGCAACCCUUGUUGUCAGUUACUAACAGGUCAUGCUGAGGACUCUGACAAGACUGCCAUCGUAAGAUGUGAGGAAGGUGGGGAUGACGUCAAAUCAGCACGGCCCUUACGUCCGGGGCUACACACGUGUUACAAUGGGGGGUACAGAGGGCCGCUACCACGCGAGUGGAUGCCAAUCCCAAAAACCUCUCUCAGUUCGGACUGGAGUCUGCAACCCGACUCCACGAAGCUGGAUUCGCUAGUAAUCGCGCAUCAGCCACGGCGCGGUGAAUACGUUCCCGGGCCUUGUACACACCGCCCGUCAAGCCAUGGGAGCCGGGGGUACCUGAAGUGCGUAACCGCGAGGAGCGCCCUAGGGUAAAACUGGUGACUGGGGCU